UUUUUUAUUUUAAUUAAUAUGAGUGAGUAUGUUUUUAAUAAUUAAAAUAAAAUUUUAAAUUUUUAGGUAAAAUUUUAAUUUAAAUGUAUUUUAAAAAAUUUAAAAUUAAAAAAUAAAUGAAAUUAAUAAAAUAAUAAGUAAACUAGGAUUAGAUACCCUAUUAUUGUUAAAAUAAAGGAAAAGUAAAANGUAUUAAUAAGGUUAUUUUAUAAAUUUAAAAAAUUGGCAGUAUUUUAAUCUAUUUAGAGGAAUUUGUUAUGUAAUUGAUAAUCCACGAAUAAAUUUACUUAAAUUAUUUAGUUUGUAUAUCAUUGUUAUAAAANGCUUAUUUAGAAGUUUAAAGUUUAAUAUUUUUNAAAAAAANGUUAUAUCAAAUCAUUAUGCAGUUUAUGUUUAAGAUUUAAAUGAAUUAUAAUGAAUUUAUUUUUGAAUAAAAAAUUGAAAAAUUUUUUUGAAAUUAGAUUUAAAAGUAAUUUUAUAUUAAUUUUAUAAAAUGAUUUAGUUUUAAAAUAUGCACAUAUUGCCCGUCAUUUUCAUUUUAAAUUGAAACAAGUCGUAACAAAGUAGAAUUACUGGAAAGUGUUUCUAGAAUGUU
This 595-nucleotide ribosomal RNA is filed under the name Sericostoma personatum. RNAcentral describes it as "partial 12S small subunit ribosomal RNA". The record is from RNAcentral. Lineage: Eukaryota; Metazoa; Arthropoda; Insecta; Trichoptera; Sericostomatidae.